This 385-nucleotide unclassified non-coding RNA is filed under the name uncultured Chytridiomycota. RNAcentral's name for it is "sequence contains ITS1". The stretch from base 1 to 105 matches the Rfam family "5.8S ribosomal RNA", at positions 50 to 154 of the family's 154-position model. The record is from RNAcentral. Lineage: Eukaryota; Fungi; Chytridiomycota.
AAACUGCGAUACGUAGUGUGAAUUGCAGAAUUCAGUGAAUCAUCGAAUCUUUGAACGCAAAUUGCGCUGCUGGGUAUUCCUGGCAGCAUGCUUGGCUGAGUAUCAUCUGGACAAAUCGAUUCAAUUUUUUUGAAUCGGACAUGAGGCUUGUCGCAUGCUCGCAAGAGUAUGGGUCCCUUUAAGAAUAGCAAAAUGGUUAAAGCGCACCUUGUGUGCUUCAACAAUACUUUUUUGUUGAGCAAACAGUUUGUUUUUAACCGCCAGUGUGUCAAUUGUUUGCAGUGGCAACGCUGCACAACAUUCAACCACUGUUUGCGGGAUGAACAGUUGUUCAACAACCCAAAAUUUUGAUCUCAGCUCAAGCAAGACUACCCGCUGAACUUAA